CCACCGGGGAGGUAUGGGGUUGCUUAUAUCAUGUAAUUGCCCCCUCUACCUCUUGAUGUGGCCUCCUCUUUGUCUUCUGGAGUAGGAUAUCUUUUUGAAAGUUUCCAGUCCAUUUGGUUGAAGGUUGUUCAGCAUUUGGUUGUAAUUUUGUUGUUUUUAUGAGAGAAGUUGAGCUCUAGUCCUUCUAUUCUGCCAUCUUAAUCCUAUCUCCUAGUUUUGAAUACUUUAAAUAAAAUAAAUAUUAAAAAACCUCAGUCCUACUCUUCUCUUCCCUCUUUGGGUCCCUGGCUUGUCUAAGAACUAAAUUGAUAUAAGACAGACCAAUAAGAGAAAAGCAUACAAAUUGUGUUGAGUUUUUACAUAUCCAUGGCAGGUUUCACGAGAGGAUGAAUACCAAAAAUGACCAAAACCAGAAGCUUUUAUACCUUUUAGUCAACUUUGUGUAUAUCCACUUGUUUACUCUUGCAUUUCUGCCAUUGCAAGGAGCAGAGGAUGCCCAUGCUAGUCUUUUGGUUCCUCCUAGGCAGGGCAGAUCACCCCAGGUAAAUGCAGCCUAGAUCCAAAGCUCCUCAGCUAACUUUCAGAAGAAUGUGAAAACUAAGGUGAGGUCAGCAGAAGUGUCCAGCCUUGAGCCUCUGAACUCUGAGAUCCAUAAGAAAUAAAUGUGCAUUGUGUAUGCUGCUGAGUUUCUGGGUCGUUUGUUAUGCAGUGAAAGCUAAAGUGUAUAAACACAUUUUAAUAAGAAAAGCAUCCGUAUAUUCAAGCAAAAUGAAACAUGUUUUGGGGACACAAUGCAAAUAAUUAACUGUGGUUGUUUGAGCUUUAUGGGUAUGGACAACUUUAAUUUUUUCUUUAUAAUUAUGUUUAAAAAUUUAUGCAAUAAGCAUGUUUUAUUUGUCACAAGUGGAAUUUUAAAUAAAAUGAUAAUAUUUAUCUUCUAUUUUAGAGAAUAAAUUGCUUUUGAAACUUUAUUAUUAAUCCAAAAAAAAUUUUUCCCUUAGAAAAUAAGAACUACUUUCUGAAAAGUGAUAAGAAUAAAGGUAUAUUAAUCAGCUAUUAUUAUAUUCUCUGGAUUCUCUGGAUAAAUCCUUACUGAUAAGAAUUGAGGAAUAUAAUAAUCUUGAGGUAAUGUACAUGUAAUUUAAAAAUAGACUUUAGUUUGCUCUUUGUUUCCCAGCCAAAAGGUGAGUAGUGAGUUUUUUGCCAUUAAAAACUUUAUUCAACUUUUUAUGGCUAAAAGAUAAUUUUCCCAGGGAUAUUCUCUUAGAAAAUAUUAAAAUAAUGUUUUAACUGCUUCUACACUACUUGGCUGAAUGAUAUUUGAGACAAAGGCAGAAAUUCUUUGCUUUUGAUCUAAAACUGGCAAGAUUAAUUCAUCUACAUCUUUAAAAUUUACCAUGGGAGACUUUUAAGUUUUAUGGUAUUAAGUUAUUUUCACAAAUGAUUGUUUCAAGGUCAGAGAAAAUUUGAACAUUAUGUUUCAUAUUUCUCUUUUCCUCAGUCCUCACAUCCAAUCAAGCAACAAGUCCUAACUACUUUUUUAAAACCUCCACUUUUAUAAUUAUACUGUCAAAAGUAUAAUUUUUAAAGUUAGAACAUGACUUUUUUAUAAAUAUCAAGUGAACACAUGGCAAAUAUCUAUUUAAAUCCUUAAUGAGGGAGUCAGCAGNNNNNNNNNNNNNNNNNNNNNNNNNNNNNNNNNAGGUAAAGCUAGCUCAAGGAGCAUUUGAAGAACAGAGAUGGAUAAAGUCUGUUUAAAAAAAAAAAAAGACAUACUGAAAUAAAUUUGCAAAGUUAAGAACAAAACUUUUUAAUAUCCUAAAGGGUAAUAAAAUAGAAACCUUUGGGAGUGCCUUUGUUCUGAGUAGAAACUAUGUACAUUUCCAGUGGAAAAAGCUACAAUUGAACACGUAACUUUACUGAUUUUUAGCCUAAUAAAUACCAAAGCAAACAGGUACAUAUUCUAGGGAAUUAAAUUAUUCUUGGGUGAUCCUUUUAAUAUCCCAGUAUAAUACUGAAAUUAUGUGUAGAUAUUCUACUGAUUUAAUAGCCAUUUUGGAACAUUUUUCUUAACAGUCUCCUUUGUGAUCAUAAAUAAUCUCUAAAGAAUGUUCUUGGUCAUGAAAAAAAUUUAGCCUUUUUGUGUUUUGGCCUAAUUAAUUUACAUGGGUUAGUAGACAGCAUUAAUUAAACAUAUAAAUUUCUUUAUAGGAUAGUCAGAAAGUCUAGAACCACUCAAUUAUUAUUAUUAUCAGAGAAUUAACUUAUUUCUAGAGAUUGCAUAAGGAAAACAUUAAAGAAACAUAUCAAAAUAGUGGUGGAUAAAAUCUGACCACAAAUUCGUUUCUGCUUUUUUAGCAAGACUGUCUCCCAUUUUUAAUCUGGGGUUGACUUUCCUUAACCAAUAAAAUUUAGCAGAAAUGGGUUGUUGGAUGUCUCUUCACUGGUAUAUCAUUAUUACAUCAGAAUCACAUAUAACACGUCUAUCUCAGUAUUUGCUGCAUAAAUUAAUGAAACUUGAAGAAAUUGUCUUGACUCUAUUUGUGCAGUUGACAAAUGGAUUAUCAAGACAUCAUUUUUUUAGAAAGUAGACUCUUAAGUUUUACCUUUAUACUCACUCAGUAAACUUAUGUAGUGAGCAAUUUGUCCUUAUUCUUCUGUCUUUCUGAGGCAUGCUCUCUCCCAGCUCGGAAUUUCUGUGCUGGCUGUUCUUGCCUCAUAGCAGCAGCUCAUCUUGAGUUCUUUACUGGUGAUGUCCUAUUAUCUUUUAAAUACCUUCCUUAUUUUUAUUCAGACCUCUUGAAGUCUUCUGCCAAGACAUGAUGGAUAAUAAGAUAAUCAGAUAAAUCAAUCUCUGCCUUGGUAUUAGCUAUGUAAGAGGAAGCACUGAAUAUAGAUCAGGAGGGUUGGAGUCAAACUCAGACUCUGUUAUGAGCCAUGACACUACCCUUCAACUAAUCGUGUGAAUUUAAACCAGUUAUUUUAUUUCUCAGGUCUCCAUUUUCCAAUAUGUAAGUUGGGAAACAAAACCGCUUAGGGUGAGGAUUAAAUAGAGCUGUGUAUACUUUGUUCGAAUUAGGUAGUAAAGGCUUAUAUAGUUGUGGCUAUUUUAAGGAGUCAUUUUCCCCCCCAAAUAUUAUAUCGUCUUUCAGUAGACAUCCCCAAAUGAAGUUGAGGAUUUUAUUGUUGAGUGAUGGGAGAAAUUCUGGUUAGAUGCCUUCUUCUUAGUCAUAUUCUGUCUUCUUGGGCAACUACUGCUUACUUUGAGAAUUUUUNNNNNNNNNNNNNNNNNNNNNNNNNNNNNNNNNNNNNNGGAAUUUUAAUCACUUUUCUAAGAAUACCUGUGAUUUUUGAAUCUACAGUAAAUUAUAAAUUAUAAAAUUUGAAAUUAUAUUUAAGGUAGGUAGUUUACAUAUGCUUGUAUGACGUGAAAGCAUGAAAGAAUCUUUUUUCAGGGAUUUUUUUCCAAAGAAUUUUAGUAUAUUUAUAUUUGUAUAACCAUCAUUACAACCUAAUUUUACAUUUCCAUACCAAAACCCCAGCCCAUCCCUCCCACCCCUACCUCUCUCCUUUGGUAAGCAUAAGUUUUUCAAAGUCUGUGAGUCAGUUUCUGUUCUGCAAGUAAGUUCACUGUAUCCUUUUUUUUUUUUUUUUUUUUUCGAUUCCUCAUAUAAGUGAUAACAUAUGACAUUUGUGUCUCACUGUCUAACUUCACUUAGCAUGAUAAUUUCUAGGUCCAUCCAUGUUGCAGCAAAUGCCAUUAUUUCAUUCCUUUUUAUCACUGAGUAAUAGUCUAUUGUGUAUAUACCACAUCUUUAUCUACUCCUCUGUUGAUGGACAUUUAGGUUACUUCCAUGUCUUGGCUAUUGUAUAUAGGGCUGCAAUGAACAUUGGGGUACAUGUAUCUUUUUGAGUCAUGGUUUUUUCUGGAUAGAUGCCCAGGAGUGGGAUAGAAUCUUUGAACAUGAUUUCCCCCCCACCCCCGCCAAUGCUGUCACCUCUCAAAGAAUCUCUUAAAAUUGUGAUCGUUUACAUGUCUAGAAGAGUGUUAAGAACAGGUUGUAUGUAGCUAUCAUUUAGCAAUAGUCUCUUCUAUUCUAGCUAACAGCUUUCUUUCCUAGGUUCUUCAGAAAUGGAAUCUGAACAUGCCACCUUGAGAAAGUAGAAUACCAGAUAAGGAAUAAUUUAAAAUAUAUUGAAUGAAUAAAUAGCAGAACAGGACAGAUUUUUUUGGUGCUUUGGAAAGUAUAAUUAUAAUUUUUUUCUAAUCCCUGAAAUUUAUAUUAUUUGAAUAAUCUAAAAUCCUAGAACCCUUUUCAGGUGAUUUGGCUAAUCAAAAAGAUGCUAUCACUAUUUUUUCAAUAAUAGCACAUUAACUCCUGACUGAUAGAGAUCUACAUUCAUAAUUAGAUUUCCUUUAGCCAAAAUCAGCUUCUGAUGACUUUCAGCUAAUGAUUUCAUCUCUUAUUAUUUAAGAGCUUAGUUUUGAGAUUAGGUUUUAUUCAUUUAGUGGUUAACGAAUCCGACUAGGAACCAUGAGGUUUCGGGUUCGAUCCCUGGCCUUGCUCAGUGGGUUAAGGAUCUGGCGUUGCCAUGAGCUGUGGUGUAGGUUGCAGACGUGGCUUGGAUCCCACAUUGCUGUGGCUCUGGUGUAGGCCAGCGGCUACAGCUCUGAUUGGACCGCUAGCCUGGGAACCUCCAUAUGCCGCAGGAGUGGCCCUAGAAAAG
This 4728-nucleotide long non-coding RNA is filed under the name Sus scrofa (pig). RNAcentral's name for it is "lncRNA (ENSSSCG00005017163.1)". The record is from RNAcentral. Lineage: Eukaryota; Metazoa; Chordata; Mammalia; Artiodactyla; Suidae.